Molecule: long non-coding RNA, 217 nt
Organism: Perca fluviatilis (European perch)
Lineage: Eukaryota; Metazoa; Chordata; Actinopteri; Perciformes; Percidae
Exons: 3
Source: RefSeq, a predicted model, not a curated record
GCAAGGCGGGAAGCAGCAGACAGUAGGGUUGCAGAAACUACCUACGCAGCAGCAAUCAGGCUCACUGGACUUACUUUUCAGAUCAGUUUAUGCCUUUGCAUCUUGCUGUUCCAGUUUCAAGAAGUUAAGGAAGAUAACUGGAGAUGUGAUAACGAUACCAGAAGACUGAGAAGAAACUGACCCUCAUUAGAAAGAUGAUGGAGACCACAUUUCCCCU